This 3972-nucleotide long non-coding RNA is filed under the name Papio anubis (olive baboon). Its description in RNAcentral is "lncRNA (ENSPANG00000039567.1)". Lineage: Eukaryota; Metazoa; Chordata; Mammalia; Primates; Cercopithecidae. The record is from RNAcentral.
GGCCUCUGUCACUUAGAAUUAUAUCCAUGCUCCAACACCAAUCCCUCCCUAACAUUAGCUAGUUCUAACACGAUGCUUUCUGUGUGCCAGGUACUAUUCUAUAAGUAUGUUACACAUUUUAACUCAGUCUUCACAGAAAGGUAGGAUUUACCAUGAUUUCCAUUUUAUAGAUGAAAUAACCAAGGAAUAGAGAGGAGUUAAGUAAAUUACCCACAAAUACCCAGAUAGUAAAGUGAUGUAAGUAGAAUUUGACUCGGGAAAUCUGGCUUCAGAGGCUGGGCUCUUAGUUACACACCAUGUGGGAAACGGUUAACUAUGCACUCUUUAUGUUGAAAUUAAUCUUUUUAAACUAUGUAAAUAAGAGGGUGAUUCUUGGUGUUGAUCUCCUGAGAAGAUAGGACAUAUUCCACCCCCCAGGACUGGCAUGUGGCCCAGUGGCAGUGCCAGAACCUUUGAACACACAGCUCUAUUCCAUGUGACACCAGUGGAAAACGAAGCAUUUCUUGGCAGUGUUGAUGAGUAUUUGGAUGAAAAAAACAGAAGAGCUCAUUAAACCUGUAAAACUCUGUUCCAGAGGUGACCAGCAUUACUUCCCCUGGGAAGUCACUGAAAAACAAUUACCCUGAGACACAGAUUGGCUCUCUUUUUACCUGCUGCCAUCCAUGUAAGACAUGACUUGUUUCUCCUUGCCUUCUGCCAUGAUAGUGAGGCUUCCCCAGACACUUGGAACUGUGCAGAGAUGUUGGGCUCACUGGAGCUGCACUCACCUCCCAUGUGAUGCUGUGUCAAAAAUGAUCUUUCCCUGUGCAUCCAUCGGCCAAAUCUCCUCCCCAGGCUGGAACACGAAAAGAAAGAGAGUUUGCACAAAGCUCUGUCUGGCCUCAGCCAAGCUUGGGGCCCAGAAACCUUGAGACUGAUAGAACCAUCUGUCCUUAUUCUUGAACAGAUUUGUAAAAUUAGGCUAAUGGCUAGGGAAGUACUUGCAGGAAAUAUGCGUCCUAGAAAUGCUUUUGAACGUUACAGAUUCAAUAAAUAUUGACUGUGUCAAGGCUAAGCUGAGGCACCUGGAUCCCCUCCCAGGCAGACUCUAGGGUGUUAUGGUGCCCAGCAGGCCCCCUGGUCCUGGACCCUUGCGAAGAGCUGUCUCCUUGCCAGUGACUUGUCAGCAUUCAAAGCUGAGUCUCGUCCUCACCGAACUUCCUGUUCCUAAACUGAACUCCACUGUCGGCGACAUGGGUUUGAGACUCCAGGGGAUAAGAACUUGAAAAUGUCGGCAGUACAUCCACAACACUGCGGCAAAGCCGUGGAUACCAGUGAACUCCUGUCACUCUAGGGCUAGAGUUGUGAACUGACUUUGGAAAAGUUUCAGAAAAAUAAAAAGCACAAGAGAGAAUCGUAAAGUAUUAUUUAUCUUCUCAUCCUCACAAACUGAUUCCUCUCUUGCAUUCAGUUGCUAAUAUUUAUGUUGAUCACCAAAUUAAAACAACUUGUGCUAACCUGCAAAGGUACUGGGAAAUGAAGAAGGUAAAGAUCCACGUAGCUCAGCUAAAGUUUCUUCAGUGACAUUUCAAGGCCUCUUUGGACCAAUUCUGGGCAGGAAAAGGUGCCCCACAGCUGCAAUGAUUGAAAGAGAAGUUGUGUGAGAUUAUUUCUUCAAAAGUCUUCGAGAGAGCUUAUUGAAAUGGCAAAUAAACAUCAGCAGCCAAACUAUCUUAGAGAAGUGACAAGUUACUCCCAGUGAACGCGUAAGUUCUUAAUUAUCAUGGCAGAUUUUCAUAUGGAAUAAAGACGAUAAAUGUAGGAAAAAAAUACGGGUUUCAGCAGAGAUUCUCAAACUUUAGAAGGUAAAAGAAUAAUCUGAUUUGCUUGUACAAAACAUAUUCCUGGGUUCUACUCCAAACGUAAUAAAUCACAACGUCUAGAGAGUGGACUGGGAAAAUGCCUGCCAGACAAUAGCCUGAACUGAUGGUGAUUCAGUAGGCCCUGGCUUGACUGUAUUAAAUGGUUAGGUUUCCCAAAGAAAGUUAGGCCCAUAGGAGAAAUCUUUUUUGGGUGCUUCAGUUCCCUCGUUCUAAGAAGCAGUAAUCUAGGGGAAGAAAUCAUCAAAAUGACUAAAACUAAGGAAACCAGCGUUUCGUACAAUGUUUUGUUUGAAGGGUCACACAUUUAGUGCGAAAGGAGAAUUAAAAGAUGGGACUGAGAAAGCUAGUGCCGUAGCUACUGCACAGCUAAAGGCAGUCAUAUGUCACAUGCUGGGCUGGAAGGAAGAAACUUUUUUUAAAAAUCAACUUGCAUAGGAUUCACUUGCAUGGGCCUAAGUGCUAUCUCUGUGGACUACUUCCCCUCACGUUUAAAUGGUUUUUGUUUUUUGUUUUUUCUAGCAGUAGUCAGGUGAGUGAAUACUAGGGUAAAAAUUGCUUUGGGGUUCCUUUCCCUAUCUGACUUAAAUACAUAAGUUAUUUUAUUUGUUUAGGAUAUGAUGCCAGUGAAUAUGAAGAAUAUUAUUAAUAGAAGAAAAUGGCUCAAGGGUUUAAAAAGUACAUAAGUACAUUUACAAACAUUAACUUAAUCUUCAGAGAAAUAAACAGUAAACAUUUAUUGACCACAAAAUGGGUGGAGAUGUCAGGAGGAAGGCUCAGAGAGGUUAAAAAACUUUUUUGGUUAAGAAAUUUCACCAAGUCAAAUGGAAUAUUCAAGAACUAAAAUUUGAUCCUAGUUCAUCUGUUUCCAAAGCCUAUGCUUUCUGACUAAAUCACAUUACUUCAUACUUUAGCUAAGAAAGAUUAAGUCACUUUGUCAAAACUUGACUAUCGUAGAGUAGGAAAAGUCAAAUCAUUUCUGAGUUAAAACAUAUGAUAAUAAUAACAGCAUUUUUGAGCAUCUGAAAUGUUAUCAAAUACUUUUCAGCAAGAUUUACAUGUGUUUUUAAAAGUGUAACACUCAUGAAAAUCCUGUGACAUAAAUAAUACUGUCUCUGUUUUACAACUUGGGAAACUGAAGGAUAGUAUUUUAGUAGUUUGUCGAAGGUCGCACAUAUUCAUUUAUUUUUACACUUGCUAUAGACUAGGGAAGGUCACACAUUUAAUAAGUGGCAGAGCCUGGAUUCAAAUAUAAAAGUCUCAUUACAGAAUUCACAUUCCUAACCAGACUUCUCAUGACGCAAGGUCUGAGUAGAUGAAGAUUAAACCAAUGAAGAGAAAUUUGCCAAGGAGCUCUACAGCUAAGAGUGAGCUCUCCACAGAAACAGAUGCAUUGGUACACAGCACCUUUGUGGUAUAGAAUAUAUCUUUUCUCUUCACAGUGCCGUUGGCAAUCUUCUUUUGGAUGGCCUGCCCGAUGGCUUCUUCAUUCAGGUACGAAUAAGCUGAGUCAAUAUGGUGGUAGCCUACAUCAAUUGCUACCUGGACGGCCUCUUCUACAUUACUCAUAGUAACCUGGAAGAGCAUAAAGAGAUAAAGAUUUGUUUGACUCAGGAACAGAUGAUCAAUUCUCUUAGCAGAGAUAUUCAAAAGAACCUUUUUUCCCCCCUACUAAGGGCUAAGAGCUAGAGGUGGCAAAGCUAAAUGUUGAGUAAAAAUCAAUAGUAAGUGUUUAGCAACUAGCUCUGAGGAAGUCCUGGUUUGUAGUAUUUGCCAAUUUCUGUAGUGUAAAUACUCCCACUAUGGAUGAGUUCAAGCUUGCUAAAUUGGGCAAAGAUGCUCACAAUACACUCUUUUGAGUCCUUAUGAGCACAUCACAGUCUUUAAAUCUCUAUGUAUUUAUAGUAUGUUUAUGAUCUAUAGAUUUGCACAAUCUAUAGAUUUACAUUCCUAACUUAAUUUGCUCUAUAAGAGGUUAUAAAAUUGGUUUUGAUCCAAUAAUUUAGUUCUAAUAGUUGUCUAUCCACAUAAAGAUAUAACUUUAGACACAAUAAAUUAUUAAUUUACCUAUCUAAACUUGGAAAAACAAAGAACAUUUGAGGAAGAAUAAAAA